CCUAUCGGUCACUUUUACCAAAACCGCUAAGUUAUGGGGACAUAAACACAGGACAUACUCGUCCUGCCUUGGUUUUUGUCGUCCUUUUUCCUCUAAUAUAAUAUAUACCUGCUAACUUGGAAGCCUAAUGUGGAUCCCUAGCUCUGCCUCAGCUGUGAACUUGGAACCUAAUGGAUGACCAAUUAUAGCACUUACUCAGCAUACCUAUUUGUUUAGAUCACCAGUGAACUAAGCCCCUCAUAUUCUAUAUAUACAUCCAAAUUGAGGAGUGGAACAGGUAAAAUGCAAGCUACAUAUGUUUCUUAGCUAGGUGAUUCUUUGAUGUAAUAGUUUUUCAAUGAGGGUUGCUUAGCUUAGCUAAACAUGAGGCUAAGACUACCUUAAUUAAAUGAAGGUUACAUUGUCACAUGGAAUUUCCAAGUUAACUCACCACAAAUGUGACUUGAAUUGAAUAGAAAAGCCAGUAGUAUAGGAUUAAAAAAAGCAAAAAUUUGAAAAAAUAAAAAGGUCAUGAAGUAUGUAGGGGGAGAGGAGGAGGUUAAAUAUGUGGGAGUGUAUUAUACUUGUUCCACUCCCUCCAUUUGGAUUUUUAUUUGCAUUUGUAACAACUUGAGUUACUAACCAACAGCUAUAGAAACUAUCAGGUGACUCAGCUAUAGAAACUAUCAGUUCAUUUUCUAUGGUUGCAGAGAAGAGAUAGAUUUACAAAACAAACCAAAAGUAAAAUAAUACCAGCUGUUGUGUCUGGAUUUGAGUGAACUAAUGCACAACCACUGAUAUUAUGUUAUCGGAAUAAUCAAUCAAAAUUUAAUAUAACGAACCUUUAACUGUUGGAGUUUAUCAAUUGUUGAGCAGCUGUUGUGUCUGGAUUUGAGUGAACUAAUGCACAACUACUGAUAUUAUGUUAUCGGAAUAAUCAAUCAAAAUUUAAUAUAACGAACCUUUAACUGUUGGAGUUUAUCAAUUGUUGAGAAAAUGUCACAGAAAUUUGAAGUGGGUGGCAAAUUAACACUUUCAAACAAAGAAAAUAUCUCCGGAGAAUGUGCUAAAGGCUUGUUCUGAAGAAAAUAAAUGGAAAAAAUAUCUACAUAAA
Molecule: long non-coding RNA, 1093 nt
Organism: Octopus bimaculoides (California two-spot octopus)
Lineage: Eukaryota; Metazoa; Mollusca; Cephalopoda; Octopoda; Octopodidae
Source: RefSeq, a predicted model, not a curated record